CCCGGAGAAGCUGAAAGGGUUCAAGCGCUCGGCUGAAGACCGAGAGAAGAUAGGUUCGACUCCUUCCUCCGGGA
Molecule: transfer RNA, 74 nt
Filed under: Plesiocystis pacifica
Lineage: Bacteria; Pseudomonadati; Myxococcota; Nannocystales; Nannocystaceae
Also listed under: 1 other name
Description: tRNA-Phe
Rfam family: tRNA
About the family: Transfer RNA (tRNA) molecules are approximately 80 nucleotides in length. Their secondary structure includes four short double-helical elements and three loops (D, anti-codon, and T loops). Further hydrogen bonds mediate the characteristic L-shaped molecular structure. tRNAs have two regions of fundamental functional importance: the anti-codon, which is responsible for specific mRNA codon recognition, and the 3' end, to which the tRNAs corresponding amino acid is attached (by aminoacyl-tRNA synthetases). tRNAs cope with the degeneracy of the genetic code in two manners: having more than one tRNA (with a specific anti-codon) for a particular amino acid; and 'wobble' base-pairing, i.e. permitting non-standard base-pairing at the 3rd anti-codon position.
Source: RNAcentral